Molecule: transfer-messenger RNA, 386 nt
Filed under: Scytonema hofmannii
Lineage: Bacteria; Bacillati; Cyanobacteriota; Cyanophyceae; Nostocales; Scytonemataceae
Also listed under: 1 other name
Description: Standard tmRNA
Rfam family: transfer-messenger RNA
About the family: Bacterial tmRNA, also known as 10Sa RNA or SsrA, is named for its dual tRNA and mRNA-like properties. Its role is to liberate the mRNA from a stalled ribosome.
Source: RNAcentral
GGGGCUUUAACGGUUUCGACGUGGUGGCGAAAGCUGCUCUAUGAUUCAGGUCGAGAGUGAGUCGUCUCUCGAAAAUCAAAGGCUCAAAAAAAUAGAUGCAAACAACAUCGUACCUUUUGCUCGUAAGCAAGCUCCUGUAGCUGCCUAAUAACCUCUAACUGGUUCGAGCGCUUCUAGUCUGACUCCGUUAAAGGCUAGAGGCAACCCCCAACGGAUGCGCUAGCAGUGUUCUCUGAUUGGCUGACUAGCUAAGACUUAAUCAGAGCAUCCUACCGUUCGGGAUAAAGAACGAUCCCCGCCCUGAGGGUAAAAAGGGCUAAACCUGUGAAUGAGUGGGGGGUGAAUACCCAUUGCGGACAUGGGUUCAACUCCCAUAAGCUCCAUAA